RNAcentral lists this ribosomal RNA (440 nucleotides) under uncultured bacterium. RNAcentral's name for it is "partial 16S ribosomal RNA". It matches the Rfam family "Bacterial small subunit ribosomal RNA", at positions 338 to 795 of the family's 1533-position model. The record is from RNAcentral.
CCUACGGGUGGCAGCAGUGGGGAAUCUUUCACAAUGGGGGAAACCCUGAUGCAGCGACGCCGCGUGCAUGAAGAAGUAAUUCGUUAUGUAAAGUGCUAUCAGCAGCGAAGAAAAUGACGGUAACUGAGUAAUAAGCCUCGGCUAACUACGUGCCAGCAGCCGCGGUAAUACGUAGGGGGCAAGCGUUAUCCGGAUUUACUGGGUGUAAAGGGAGCGUAGACGGAAGUGCAAGUCUGGAGUGAAAGGCGGGGGCUAAACCCACGGACUGCUCUGGAAACUGUACGGCUGGAGUGCAGGAGAGGUAAGUGGAAUUCCUAGUGUAGCAGUGAAAUGCGUAGAUAUUAGGAGGAACACCAGUGGCGAAGGCGGCUUACUGGACUGUAACUGACGUUGAGGCUCGAAAGCGUAGGGAGCAAACAGGAUUAGAUACCCCAGUAGUC